AUGGCGAACGGCGUGGGCUCGGCGAAGGCGGAGAUCUGCGCCGGGCUGGGCAUGCCGAUGGCGGAGCUGGAGCAGGUGUUCCGGCGCUACGACGCCAACGGCGACGGCAAGAUCUCGGCGGACGAGCUGGCGUCCGUGCUGCGCGCGCUGGGCGCGCCCCCGGGGCCAGGGGAGGUGCAGAGCAUGAUGGAGGAGAUGGACGCCGACAGGGACGGCUUCGUCGACCUCCACGAGUUCGCCGCCUUUCACUGCGGCCCCUGCAAGGGCAGCGCGGCCGCAGACGCCAAGGAGCAGGAGGCCGCCACGGAGGCCGAGCUCAAGGAGGCCUUCCGGAUGUACGACGCCGACCGCAACGGGCUCAUCUCCGCGCGGGAGCUUCACCGUGUGCUCCGCCAGCUCGGGGAGAAGUGCUCCGUUGCUGACUGCUCGCGCAUGAUACGAUCCGUCGACGCCGACGGCGACGGCAGCGUCAACUUCGAGGAAUUCAAGAAGAUGAUGGGCGGCGGAGGUAGGAGCUAG
RNAcentral lists this ribosomal RNA (519 nucleotides) under Triticum aestivum (bread wheat). RNAcentral's name for it is "partial small subunit ribosomal RNA". The record is from RNAcentral. Lineage: Eukaryota; Viridiplantae; Streptophyta; Magnoliopsida; Poales; Poaceae.